RNAcentral lists this ribosomal RNA (253 nucleotides) under uncultured bacterium. Its description in RNAcentral is "partial 16S ribosomal RNA". It matches the Rfam family "Bacterial small subunit ribosomal RNA", at positions 524 to 776 of the family's 1533-position model. The record is from RNAcentral.
UACGAAGGGUGCAAGCGUUGUUCGGAUUUAUUGGGCGUAAAGCGCGCGCAGGCGGAAAUGUGUGUCAGAUGUGAAAUCUCGGAGCUUAACUCCGAAAGUGCGUCUGAAACUGCAAUUCUAGAAUACUGGAGGGGGAAGGGGAAUUUCACGUGUAGGGGUAAAAUCCGUAGAGAUGUGAAGGAACACCGGAGGCGAAGGCGCCUUCCUGGCCGGUUAUUGACGCUGAGGCGCGAAAGCGUGGGGAUCAAACAGG